GUGAGAUAUACCACAGAUAUUGUAACAAUUAACAAAGGGCUCUGAAACUAAUACUGUACCACUGCCAAGACCUCACAGAGUUUUAGCUGUAAAAGCAGAGGUUUUAACAGGGGACCCAAGCAGAGUUCUGGUUCUAUCUGCAGAGCAUGGCUCAGGACCAGAGAAGUCCAGACCAGGGAGUCACUGAGUAAAAGGUUUUCCAGGAGUAAGGCCAAGAGCAUCAAAACAAACUCCAGGAUGGAUUUCCUCUCUGGGGUUCGUUCAGCAGCUCAUUGUGAAGGGUAAAUACAUAGACAUUUUAGUACGUUGAACUGAAGCCUUGUAGGCUUUAAUCCCAUAACACAAUCUAAACAUUACAAGGGUCUGGUGUUGCUUCAUAAGCCGCUGACACACAAAACAUGUUUCCAGGAAGAUGUUGCAGUUCUCAGAGCAGACUGUGUUUGUGACAACUCAUAACUCAAUGAAGGGGCCGUAUAGAAAGCCUGUUUGAAUUGCACUUAGUAACAAAAUGCCAGUUCAGCUAAAUGUGCAGGUGAGAUGGUCAUUACAUCAUAUUUACACAAUGUACCAAACGGGAACGGUGCUACUCUGCCACAGUGAUACAUAAUGUUUAGUUGACAAGAGCACAAGUGUUGCUUAUGCUCCUCGUCGUUGCCAGAGAGAAAGAACGCGCGCGCAAGAGAGAGCGACAGCGCUCCACACAUGCAUGUAGUCUAGCUGGAACAUUCCAAUCACCUGAGCUACACUAGAGCCUUCCAUGUGGUCUUAAUGGCUGAUGUAUUACCAGAGGAAGAGAGAGAGGCUUGGCAUCACACUCAGGUCCAUAGCUCCCCCCCUCAGCCCCACUGCUCCUUCAGCCCCUGUCUGCGUCCCAAAUGGCACCCUGUUAUCUAUAUAGCGCACCAGAACCCUCGUCAAAAGAAGUGCACUCACUAUAUGCCACUUGGGACGCAGACCCUCCUCACUGGUUGGCUGGCUGCCAUUUGGCUCCGUGGUGAAGACACUCCGCUGGUCACAUGAUACCCCCCUGGGUCUGCUUUACCAGUUUGUUAUUCACAACCCCCCAGGAGAGGAGAGGGGAGGGGCUGAGAUGAGAGGGGAGUGGCUGAGAGGAGAGGGGCUGAGAGGAGGAGGGAGGGGCUAAUAGGUGAGAGGAGGGGCUGAGAGGAGAGGGGCUGAGAGGAGAGGGGAGGGACUAAUAGGUGAGAGGAGGGGCUGAGAGGAGAGGGGCUGAGAGGAGGAGGGAGGGGCUAAUAGGUGAGAGGAGGGGCUGAGAGGAGAGCGGAGGGGCUGAGAGGAGGAGGGAGGGGCUAAUAGGUGAGAGGAGGGGCUGAGAGGAGAGCUGAGGGGCUGGGAGGAGGAGGGAGGGGCUAAUAGGUGAGAGGAGGGGCUGAGCUGUAUACCUGGGACCCAGUGUGACAUAGGCCUUCAGCUGAAAUGUUGUUACACUUCAUUUGAUUUUUUAUUUAACCUUUAUUUAACUAGGCAAGUCAGUUAAGAAUUCUUAUUUACAACGACGCCCUACUUGUAAAGCCCCGUUGGCCAAACCCUCCCCUAACCCAGAUGAUGUCCCUGUGAGACUCCCGAUCACGGCCAGUUGUGAUACAGCCCGGGAUCAAACCUGGGUCUGUAGGGAAGCCUCAAGCACUGCGAUGCAGAGCCUUAGACUGCUGCACCACUCGGGAGGCCAAAUGUGUGGAACUAUUAUGAGGGGAGAACAACUCAUCUAAAACUGUUACCUGGGAAAAUACGAUGAAUGUAUGAACUGAGAGAUGAACAUGUUGUAGCGGCCUACAAUAUACAUCUGAAUUGCAUGCAACGCUAUUUUACUGUAGUACACCACAGCUUGAUGCUCUUAUAGGAACAUCUAAACUGCCACUAGGGGACCCCACUACCUUCAUUACAGUAGCUAAAAAUGGUCCUCCACUCUACUGCUCUCGGUGAAACAUCACAUCAGUUUUAUAUUGUUUCCUAAACUAUUUGGUCGAUUUCGGCUAUUAGUCUGUCAGUCAGUUGAAGCAUUUGAUGUAAACACGAAAACUUCCACAGGACAAGUGCCAGGUGAGAAGUGUCAGUCAAGCGACACUGCCUUUAUACACCCCUUCGCUGUUUUGAUAGAUCCUAUCUGGUCUGGACCACGUCAGUCCGUGUGAGGAAAUUAUAUAUAUAUAUAAAAAAACACUAUUGGAAGGAGGUGAAGUGUAUUUUGAGAGGUUUUGCAGAGAGAUUUAUUGCAUAAAGUCAAG
Long non-coding RNA from Oncorhynchus tshawytscha (Chinook salmon), 2246 nucleotides. NCBI's taxonomy places the organism in Eukaryota, Metazoa, Chordata, Actinopteri, Salmoniformes, Salmonidae. The record is from Ensembl.